This 64-nucleotide transfer RNA is filed under the name Eumecichthys fiski. Its description in RNAcentral is "tRNA-Cys". The record is from RNAcentral. Lineage: Eukaryota; Metazoa; Chordata; Actinopteri; Lampriformes; Lophotidae.
AGUUCCGGGGUGUUACAUGUCAGAUUGCAAAUCUGAAGAGGCGGAGUAAAGUCCGCCGGGACUU